RNAcentral lists this ribosomal RNA (1400 nucleotides) under uncultured bacterium. RNAcentral describes it as "16S ribosomal RNA". It matches the Rfam family "Bacterial small subunit ribosomal RNA". The record is from RNAcentral.
UUAGAGUUUGAUCCUGGCUCAGGCAUGAACGCUAGCGGCAGGCUUAACACAUGCAAGUCGAGGGGCAGCAUAAGACUGUGCUUGCACAGUUUGGUGGCGACCGGCGCACGGGUGCGUAACGCGUAUGCAACCUACCUGUAACAGGGGGAUAACACUGAGAAAUUGGUACUAAUACCCCGUAACAUCAUUGAGGGCAUCCUUUUUGGUUGAAAGUUCCGGCGGUUACAGAUGGGCAUGCGUUGUAUUAGCUAGUAGGUGAGGUAACGGCUCACCUAGGCGACGAUACAUAGGGGGACUGAGAGGUUAACCCCCCACAUUGGUACUGAGACACGGACCAAACUCCUACGGGAGGCAGCAGUGAGGAAUAUUGGUCAAUGGGCGCAAGCCUGAACCAGCCAUGCCGCGUGCAGGAAGACGGCUCUAUGAGUUGUAAACUGCUUUUGUAUAAGGGUAAAAUUGGGUACGUGUACCCAACUGAAAGUACUAUACGAAUAAGGGUCGGCUAACUCCGUACCAGCAGCCGCGGUAAUACGGAGGACCCAAGCGUUAUCCGGAUUUAUUGGGUUUAAAGGGUGCGUAGGCGGUUUGGUAAGUUAGAGGUGAAAUUUUUAGGCUCAACCUAGACAUUGCCUCUGAUACUGCCGAGCUAGAGAGUAGUUGCUGUGGGCGGAAUGUAUGGUGUAGCGGUGAAAUGCAUAGAGAUCAUACAGAACACCGAUUGCGAAGGCAGCUCACAAAACUAUAUCUGACGUUGAGGCACGAAAGCGUGGGUAGCAAACAGGAUUAGAUACCCUGGUAGUCCACGCAGUAAACGAUGAUAGCUCGUUGUCGGCGAUACACAGUCGGUGACUUAGAGAAAUUGAUAAGCUAUCCACCUGGGGAGUACGUUCGCAAGAAUGAAACUCAAAGGAAAUGACGGGGGCCCGCACAAGCGGAGGAACAUGUGGUUUAAUUCGAUGAUACGCGAGGAACCUUACCCGGGCUUGAAAGUUAUUGACGAAUCUGGAAACGGAUUUUCCCUUCGGGGCAAGAAACUAGGUGCUGCAUGGUUGUCGUCAGCUCGUGCCGUGAGGUGUCGGGUUAAGUCCCAUAACGAGCGCAACCCCUGCUGAUAGUUGCCAUCAGGUAAAGCUGGGCACUCUAUCGGGACUGCCUCUGUAAGGAGGAGGAGGGUGGGGAUGACGUCAAAUCAGCACGGCCCUUACGUCCGGGGCGACACACGUGUUACAAUGGUAGGUACAGAGGGCAGCCACCCAGUGAUGGGGAGCAAAUCUCGAAAGCCUAUCUCAGUUCGGAUUGGAGGCUGAAACUCGCCUCCAUGAAGUUGGAUUCGCUAGUAAUCGCGCAUCAGCCAUGGCGCGGUGAAUACGUUCCCGCGGCCCUUGUACACACCGCCCGUC